UACAUGUCCUGUCGUGGGGGAUAGCCCGGCGAAAGCCGGAUUAAUACCGCAUACGUCCGAGAGGAGAAAGUGGGGGACCCGCAAGGGCCUCACGCGAUUGGAUUGGCCGAUGUCCGAUUAGCUAGUUGGUGGGGUAAAGGCCUACCAAGGCGAUGAUCGGUAGCUGGUCUGAGAGGAUGAUCAGCCACACUGGGACUGAGACACGGCCCAGACUCCUACGGGAGGCAGCAGUGGGGGAUUUUGGACAAUGGGGGCAACCCUGAUCCAGCCAUUCCGCGUGGGUGAAGAAGGCCUUCGGGUUGUAAAGCUCUUUUGUCCGGAGCGAAAAGGCGAGCGUGAAUAUCGCUCGCUACUGACGGUACCGGAAGAAUAAGCACCGGCUAACUACGUGCCAGCAGCCGCGGUAAUACGUAGGGUGCGAGCGUUAAUCGGAAUUACUGGGCGUAAAGCGUGCGCAGGCGGUUUUGUAAGCCAGAUGUGAAAUCCCCGGGCUCAACCUGGGAAUGGCAUUUGGGACUGCAAGGCUCGAGUGCGGCAGAGGAGACUGGAAUUCCUGGUGUAGCAGUGAAAUGCGUAGAUAUCAGGAGGAAUACCGAUGGCGAAGGCAGGUCUCUUGGCUUGACACAACGCUCAUGCACGAAAGCGUGG
This 648-nucleotide ribosomal RNA is filed under the name uncultured beta proteobacterium. RNAcentral's name for it is "bacterial SSU rRNA". It matches the Rfam family "Bacterial small subunit ribosomal RNA", at positions 123 to 764 of the family's 1533-position model. Lineage: Bacteria; Pseudomonadati; Pseudomonadota; Betaproteobacteria. The record is from RNAcentral.